RNAcentral lists this ribosomal RNA (465 nucleotides) under Vreelandella stevensii. Its description in RNAcentral is "partial 16S ribosomal RNA". It matches the Rfam family "Bacterial small subunit ribosomal RNA", at positions 338 to 795 of the family's 1533-position model. The record is from RNAcentral. Lineage: Bacteria; Pseudomonadati; Pseudomonadota; Gammaproteobacteria; Oceanospirillales; Halomonadaceae.
CCUACGGGUGGCAGCAGUGGGGAAUAUUGGACAAUGGGCGAAAGCCUGAUCCAGCCAUGCCGCGUGUGUGAAGAAGGCCUUCGGGUUGUAAAGCACUUUCAGUGGGGAAGAAAGCCUUGGGGCUAAUACCCUCGAGGAAGGACAUCACCCACAGAAGAAGCACCGGCUAACUCCGUGCCAGCAGCCGCGGUAAUACGGAGGGUGCGAGCGUUAAUCGGAAUUACUGGGCGUAAAGCGCGCGUAGGCGGUCUGAUAAGCCGGUUGUGAAAGCCCCGGGCUCAACCUGGGAACGGCAUCCGGAAAUGGCAGGGUAGAGGGCAGGAGAGGAAGGUAGAAUUCCCGGUGUAGCGGUGAAAUGCGUAGAGAUCGGGAGGAAUAACAGUGGCGAAGGCGGCCUUCUGGACUGACACUGACGCUGAGGUGCGAAAGCGUGGGUAGCAAACAGGAUUAGAUACCCCAGUAGUC